CGUGUAGGCGGAUUGAUAAGUUUGAAGUGAAAUCCUAUAGCUUAACUAUAGAACUGCUUUGAAAACUGUUAAUCUAGAAUGUGGGAGAGGUAGAUGGAAUUUCUGGUGUAGGGGUAAAAUCCGUAGAGAUCAGAGGGAAUACCGAUUGCGAAGGCGAUCUACUGGAACAAUAUUGACGCUGAGACGCGAAAGCGUGGGGAGCAAACA
RNAcentral lists this ribosomal RNA (207 nucleotides) under uncultured bacterium. Its description in RNAcentral is "partial 16S ribosomal RNA". It matches the Rfam family "Bacterial small subunit ribosomal RNA", at positions 568 to 774 of the family's 1533-position model. The record is from RNAcentral.